GGCCUACCAUGGUGGUAACGGGUAACGGGGUGUUAGGGCACGACACCGGAGAGGGAGCUGAGAAACGGCUACCACAUCCAAGGAUGGCAGCAGGCGCGCAAAUUACCCAAUCCCGACACGGGGAGGUAGUGACAAUAAAUAACAAUACGGGGUUCUUUAGGAUUUCGUAAUUGGAAUGAGUACAAUUUAAAUCUCUUAACGAGGAACAAUUGGAGGGCAAGUCUGGUGCCAGCAGCCGCGGUAAUUCCAGCUCCAAUAGCGUAUAUUAAAGUUGUUGCAGUUAAAAAGCUCGUAGUUGAAUUUCGGGAUCAAUGUGUUGGUCGUGCCUCGGUACGUACUAGCAUAUUGGUUUCUCCUUUCUGAAGAACCAUGAUGUCAUUUAUUUGGUGUCGUGGGGAAUCAGGACUGUUACUUUGAAAAAAUUAGAGUGUUUAAAGCAGGCUCACGCUUGAAUACAUUAGCAUGGAAUAAUGAAAUAGGACGUUUGAUUCUAUUUUGUUGGUUUCUAGGAUCGACGUAAUGAUUAAUAGGGAUAGUUGGGGGCAUUAGUAUUCAAUUGUCAGAGGUGAAAUUCUUGGAUUUAUUGAAGACUAACUACUGCGAAAGCAUUUGCCAAGGAUGUUUUCAUUAAUCAAGAACGAAAGUUAGGGGAUCGAAGACGAUCAGAUACCGUCGUAGUCUUAACCAUAAACUAUGCCGACUAGGGAUCGGAUGAUGUUAAUUUUUUAAUGACUCAUUCGGCGCCUUACGGGAAACCAAAGUGUUUGGGUUC
RNAcentral lists this ribosomal RNA (772 nucleotides) under uncultured Glomeromycotina. Its description in RNAcentral is "SSU rRNA". It matches the Rfam family "Eukaryotic small subunit ribosomal RNA", at positions 338 to 1114 of the family's 1831-position model. Lineage: Eukaryota; Fungi; Glomeromycota. The record is from RNAcentral.